Molecule: ribosomal RNA, 368 nt
Filed under: uncultured organism
Description: bacterial LSU rRNA
Rfam family: Bacterial large subunit ribosomal RNA
Source: RNAcentral
CUUUACUGUAGCUUUGCAUUGGACUGUGAUCCGGUUUGUGUAGGAUAGCUGGGAGGCUUUGAAGUGGUGACGCUAGUUGCCAUGGAGCCGACCUUGAAAUACCAGCCUGAUCUGAUUGCGGUUCUAACCUACACCCAUGAAUCUGGGUGGGGGACCGUGCAUGGUAGGCAGUUUGACUGGGGCGGUCUCCUCCUAAAGAGUAACGGAGGAGUACGAAGGUACGCUAGGCUCGGUCGGAAAUCGAGCUGAUAGUGCAAUGGCAAAAGCGUGCUUAACUGCGAGACCCACAAGUCGAGCAGGUGCGAAAGCAGGUCAUAGUGAUCCGGUGGUUCUGUAUGGAAGGGCCAUCGCUCAACGGAUAAAAGGUA